CGUAGGGUGCGAGCGUUAAUCGGAAUUACUGGGCGUAAAGUGUGCGCAGGUGGCCGCGCAAGUCGAGUGUGAAAUCCCCGAGCUUAACUUGGGAAUUGCGCUCGAAGCUACGUGGCUCGAGUGUGGCAGAGGAAGGUGGAAUUCCACGUGUAGCGGUGAAAUGCGUAGAGAUGUGGAGGAACACCGAUGGCGAAGGCAGCCUUCUGGGCCAACACUGACGCUCAUGCACGAAAGUGUGGGGAGCAAACAGGAUUAGAUACCCUGGUAGUCCACGCCCUAAACGAUGAUGACUAGUUGUUGGGGGAGUUAAAUCCCUUAGUAACGCAGCUAACGCGUGAAGUCAUCCGCCUGGGGAGUACGGUCGCAAGAUUAA
Molecule: ribosomal RNA, 373 nt
Filed under: uncultured organism
Description: bacterial SSU rRNA
Rfam family: Bacterial small subunit ribosomal RNA
Source: RNAcentral